AUACGUAGGGUGCAAGCGUUGUCCGGAAUUAUUGGGCGUAAAGAGCUCGUAGGCGGCUUGUCGCGUCUGCUGUGAAAUCCCGGAGCUCAACUCCGGGCUUGCAGUGGGUACGGGCAGGCUAGAGUGCGGUAGGGGAGAUUGGAAUUCCUGGUGUAGCGGUGGAAUGCGCAGAUAUCAGGAGGAACACCGAUGGCGAAGGCAGAUCUCUGGGCCGCUACUGACGCUGAGGAGCGAAAGCAUGGGGAGCGAACAGGAUUAGAUACCCUGGUAGUCCAUGCCGUAAACGUUGGGAACUAGAUGUAGGGCCUGUUCCACGGGUUCUGUGUCGUAGCUAACGCAUUAAGUUCCCCGCCUGGGGAGUACGGCCGCAAGGCUAAA
Molecule: ribosomal RNA, 378 nt
Filed under: uncultured bacterium
Lineage: Bacteria
Description: bacterial SSU rRNA
Rfam family: Bacterial small subunit ribosomal RNA
Source: RNAcentral